UUUAUGAAGUGGUUAGAAUGAGUAGUGUAGCGGUGAAAUGCAUAGAUAUUACUCAGAAUACCGAUUGCGAAGGCAGAUCACUAAUAAUCGACUGAACGCUGAUGGACGAAAGCGUAGGUAGCGAACAGGAAUUAGAUACCCUGGUAGUCUACGCCGUAAACGAUGGUUACUAGCUGUUCGGCCUAGAUUGAGGGCUGAGUGAUUAAAGCGAAAGUGAUAAGUAAACCCACCUGGGGAGUACGUUCGCAAGAAUGAAACUCAAAGGAAUUGACGGGGGCCCGCACAAGCGGUGGAGCAUGUGGUUUAAUUCGAUGAUACGCGAGGAACCUUACCAGGGCUUAAAUGUAGUCUGACAGGGCUGGAAACAGCUUUUUCUUCGGACAGAUUACAAGGUGCUGCAUGGUUGUCGUCAGCUCGUGCCGUGAGGUGUCAGGUUAAGUCCUAUAACGAGCGCAACCCCUGUGGUUAGUUGCCAGCGAGUCAAGUCGGGAACUCUAGCCAGACUGCCGGUGCAAACCGCGAGGAAGGUGGGGAUGACGUCAAAUCAUCACGGCCCUUACGUCCUGGGCCACACACGUGCUACAAUGGUAGGGACAGAGAGCAGCCACUUCGCGAGAAGGAGCGAAUCUACAAACCCUAUCACAGUUCGGAUCGCAGUCUGCAACUCGACUGCGUGAAGCUGGAAUCGCUAGUAAUCGGAUAUCAGCCAUGAUCCGGUGAAUACGUUCCCGGGCCUUGUACACACCGCCCGUCAAGCCAUGGAAGCCGGGGGUACCUGAAGUCGGUCACCGCAAGGAGCCGCCUAGGGUAAAACUGGUAACUGGGGCUAAGUCGUAACAAGGUAGCCGU
Molecule: ribosomal RNA, 849 nt
Filed under: uncultured Flavobacteriaceae bacterium
Lineage: Bacteria; Pseudomonadati; Bacteroidota; Flavobacteriia; Flavobacteriales; Flavobacteriaceae
Description: bacterial SSU rRNA
Rfam family: Bacterial small subunit ribosomal RNA
Source: RNAcentral